UACGUAGGGUCCGAGCGUUGUCCGGAAUUAUUGGGCGUAAAGAGCUCGUCGGCGGUUUGUCGCGUCUGCUGUGAAAUCCCGAGGCUCAACCUCGGGCCUGCAGUGGGUACGGGCAGACUGGAGUGCGGUAGGGGAGAAUGGAAUUCCUGGUGUAGCGGUGGAAUGCGCAGAUAUCAGGAAGAACACCCGUGGCGAAGGCGGCUCUCUGGGACGGUACUGACGCUGAGACGCGAAAGCGUGGGGAGCGAACAGG
RNAcentral lists this ribosomal RNA (253 nucleotides) under uncultured bacterium. RNAcentral's name for it is "partial 16S ribosomal RNA". It matches the Rfam family "Bacterial small subunit ribosomal RNA", at positions 524 to 776 of the family's 1533-position model. The record is from RNAcentral.